UACGUAGGGGGCUAGCGUUGUUCGGAUUCAUUGGGCGUAAAGGGUGCGUAGGUGGCGGGGUAAGUCAGGUGUGAAAUUUCGGAGCUUAACUCCGAAACUGCAUUUGAUACUGCCUUGCUUGAGGACUGGAGAGGAGACUGGAAUUCACGGUGUAGCAGUGAAAUGCGUAGAGAUCGUGAGGAAGACCAGUGGCGAAGGCGGGUCUCUGGACAGUUCCUGACACUGAGGCACGAAGGCCAGGGGAGCAAACGGG
Molecule: ribosomal RNA, 253 nt
Filed under: uncultured bacterium
Lineage: Bacteria
Description: partial 16S ribosomal RNA
Rfam family: Bacterial small subunit ribosomal RNA
Source: RNAcentral